CAGUUCUUCGGUUCCUGUGAUGAGAAACCCACGUCCCUGAGAAUUUGACCUGCCUGAGGACAGAUAGCAGGAGACCUACUUCCUUCUGAAGAUGGUGGAGUGAGACAGCUGCUGAUCUGCGAGCACACUGAGCCCCUGACAGGCCCCAGGGACUCCCCUCUGGUUUCGAUGAAUGCGGAGGUACAUUCUUUCCAGGGCCUGGACGAGGGUCAGGAGAGAAGUACCAGUUGCAUAGGAAAUGAAAUGCCCAAAUAAGAGAAAUCAUGGAAGCUUUAAAAUACAGAGGGGCCUCGAGAUUGCCUCAUAUGAGCCCGCAUAG
Molecule: long non-coding RNA, 319 nt
Organism: Suricata suricatta (meerkat)
Lineage: Eukaryota; Metazoa; Chordata; Mammalia; Carnivora; Herpestidae
Exons: 3
Source: RefSeq, a predicted model, not a curated record